This 239-nucleotide ribosomal RNA is filed under the name uncultured bacterium. Its description in RNAcentral is "partial 16S ribosomal RNA". It matches the Rfam family "Bacterial small subunit ribosomal RNA", at positions 15 to 235 of the family's 1533-position model. The record is from RNAcentral.
GAUCAUGGCUCAGGAUGAACGCUGGCGGCGUGCUUAACACAUGCAAGUCGAGCGAAGCACUUAGGAAAGAUUCUUCGGAUGAUUUCCUAUUUGACUGAGCGGCGGACGGGUGAGUAACGCGUGGGUAACCUGCCUCGUGCAGGGGGAUAACAGUUAGAAAUGACUGCUAAUACCGCAUAAGACCACAGCACCGCAUGGUGCAGGGGUAAAAACCUCCGGUGGUAUGAGAUGGACCCGCG